AAUUGUAGGCAAAGAGGUCCAUAAAAAAUCAAGAGAAGACUUCCAAUCCAAUGUACUCCUACUACCAAUCUUUUAGAACUAUUGUCAAAUGUGUUCUUGCAUCUUGCAAGAAGCAACAUUAAAUUGCUGCAAGAACAAUCAAAAUACCCCAAAUCUCCUUGCAUAAUUAGUGAUCUCGUAUGGAGUAAAGUUACCAUCGUCACCCAGUGGCGUUCGGCUGCGCCCGGUGCGACGACCGCGGGAAGGGCCGCCGGAGUUGGGGCGACGGCGAGAACUCCACGGGCGUCGGCGGCAGUACCAUCUCCCUGGUGAGGAUCUUGACAAUGUCAGUGUUGCCGAUUAAUAAUAAAGAACCCAUCUUGCAAAGCCGAAGACAUAAGCCGAAUACUACGUCGUCAUUGAAGGCAAGUUCGGGGGCUACUGAGGGAGUCCUGGAUUAUGGGGUCGUCGGGUGUCUGGGCUAUGCGAUAUGGGCCGGACUGAUGGGCCGUGAAGAUACAAGGUAGAAGGCCUUCCCUCAUGUCCGGAUGGGACUCUCGUUUGCGUGGAUGGCAAGCUUGGCGUCCGGAUAUGUAGUUUCCUUUCUCUAUAAACCGACUCUGUACAACCCUAGGUCCCUCCGGUGUCUAUAUAAACCGGAGGAUUUAGUCCGUAGAGGCUAUCACAAAUCAUACAGGCUAGAUAUCUAGAGUUUAGCCAUUACAAUCUCGAGGUAGAUCAACUCUUGUAACCCCUAUACUCAUCAAAGUCAAUCAAGCAGAAAGUAGGGUAUUACCUCCAUUAAGAGGCCCGAACCUGGGUAAACAUCGUGUCCCCCGUCUCCUGUUAUCUUCGAUCCUCAGACGCAUAGUUCGGGACCCCCUACCCGAGAUCGGCCAGUUUUGACACCGACACUCGAUGACGGAUCCUACGCGGAGGCAGUGAUGCAUCUGUGGUUGUGGCUGGCUCGGGGCCCCUCGCGGCAGGUCCUUGCUGGCGCUGCUCCGGCCCCGGCGGCUGUAGGCCCGCGUCUCUCCGGUGUCCUUUGCUGUUGGCGUCCUCCACCGGGCAGCUCCAGCCCCGACGACCAGGUAGUUGCGCCCCUUCCGGCUUCCCUGGCUCGCUGACGUCCCGGCGGUUACGGCCACGACAGCUCAGAUCUGCAUCUCUGUAGUCCUUGCUUGCCGGCGUUGCUGGACACCGUUGCGCCAAGACCCCCGUGUGGUUCGCCUCGUCGCCCGCCCUACCCUAUACGCCUCAAAGCCCCCUCUUUUACCAGAUCCAAGCCCAUGGUUCGAAGGCGGUGCCACCUCCGGCGGCGGGUGCAGCCCCGCCAACCCCUCUGACUUGGCAGUUCCUACCAGCUUUGGCCUUCCCACCUGCGAUCCCUGAUUCGACGGCUAUGGGAUUGCUCAGCUUCAGGCCAGGGAGAGAUCCCCGCUCGCGCCCGUGGGUGUCGUUUUUCCUCUUGGAGGCGCUGCCAAGGCCUUUAGCUGCGCCCCUCUUCGAGCUCAGGGGAACCCUAGGUCCGGGUCACCCGGACCGGAUAGUGACAGAGUCUCGGCGUUGUCUUCCUUCUUGAAGGCAGUAUCUUGCUCGCUCGUGGUGCCCUCGAUUUUGGGCUCGCAUGGUGUUGGAGUUCUCGUUGGUUUGGCAUCAUCGGUUUUGGCUCAGGUUUGGUAGGUUUAGUUGUGUUGUCCCCUCUGUUUGGGCCGAGCAUCCCUUGUCUCUCUGCUCCGGGCACCAUGUUCACACAUGUCUGUGUUCGUGUCAUGUGUUGUACCGCCUGUACUCAUUCUUGUCAUUUUAUCAAUGGAAUGAUACGCAAGCUUUGCAUACUCACAAAAAAAAUGAUUGAAUUAAUAAACGGAAAGAACCCGGUAUUUGUUCUUGAGCAAAUGUGUAUGACUAUGGAUAGAUGAAGGAAAUAAUUAGUUUUGGUUUUAUUUUUGAGUAACCCCGCAAAAAAUUGAGUAACAAAAAGGAAUAUUUUGCUUUUAAUUUUCAGUGGAAGAAGGGCGGAUGGGGUCAGAGUUGGUACCGAGAAGAAGAUUCUUUUGACUUCACACAACCUAGCUGUGAUGAUUUUUCAAGGUUCCGAGAAAAUUAAGCAUAAACUUUACCAAAAGGAAAGAUCAAAGAGGGAAACACCAAGCAACUAUGUCACCAAGAUAGCAACGAGAUGUGCCGGUCACUCCCGUCAAGUAGAAAAAAGAAGAUGUGUGCCGGCCAGUAUGAUCAUGCUGAAACUUCUCGCAUGCAUGAGAACACAGUUUUAAAACUGAAACUUCAAGUAUGAACUCUAAGAGCAAACUCCAAUGGGGCGACCCGUUUCGUCCGCCGCCGCCCGUUUGGGUUGGCGCGGCGGCCCAACACGCCGACGCAAACGGACGCGCGUCCGCUUUUCGUCUGCGGGUGACCCAUUCCCGGUCCAUUUUUGAGCCGGAUUUGCGUCGCCGCGGACAUGCGACACGCGCGCGCGCUCGCCUUCUCCUCUCCCCGAACCCGCUGGUCGGUCACACAUUAGCCUCCCCUCUCAUCCCCCAGCCAACAACAAUCCUCGCCCGCCUCCUUCGUCGCCGCCGCCGCCAUCCAUUUUUGUCGGCGACUCUGCCAGCUGCCGCCGCCUCCACAUCCGCCCAGCAACGCCGCCCACUCCUCCCGUCGCCCGCCACCGCCGUUUUGCCGCCGGGGAGCAAACUGCUUCCCACCGCCGCUCCCCCCACCGCACAGCCGCCCGCGACCAAGAAGCCACCUCCUUCUUCGACGCCCGCAACUUCCCUCGUCGGCCGUCUCCUUCUUCGACGCCCGCAAGCUGUUUGACAGUUUGUCAAGGUCCUUGCAUGCCGCGACUCCCCUCGUCGGCCAUCUCCUUCUUCGACGCCCGCAAGCUGUUCGACAGUUUGCCAAGGUACGAAAUGGAAUCCUCCGACGAGUUCUUUUUCCACAAUUUCCUUUGCGACUCUGACGAUUCGUUGUCCGACGACGAGGAGGAGAUAUUGGCUACCGUGUUGGUCCAUCACCACCUCAACAGCCAGCGGCCGUUGUUCCGUGGCUCCAUUUCGGGCCACCUUCCGGCGUUGAAUCGCAACCGAGAGAUUAGGCAUUUCCUUCUCUGGAAGGACUACUUUGAUACAACAAACCCGUUGUUCAAACAUCAAAAAUUCCGCCGCCGUUUCUGUAUGAGUAGACAUGUUUUCAAUCGUAUUAGAGAGGGAGUGGUUAGCUAUUAUGACUAUUUCGAGUGCAAAUAGGAUGCCGUCGUCAAGAUUGGUUUAUCCUCUUAUCAAAAAUGCACUGCCGUCAUUCGAAUGCUUGCAUACGGAGUGCCCGGUGAUCUCAUUGACGAGUACGUCCGUAUGAGCGAGUGUACAUGCCUAGAGUUCCUGUAUAAGUUCUGCAAGGCUGUUAUUGCUGUGUUUGGUCCCGAGUACUUGAGAGAGCCGACAGCUGAAGAUACAGCCCGUUUGUUGGCGAUGAAUGCCAGAAGGGGCUUCCCAGGGAUGCUUGGCAGCAUAGACUGCAUGCACUGGGAGUGGAAGAACUGUCCUUUUGCUUGGCAAGGGUAGUAUAAGGGCCAUCUCAGGGUUUGCACAGUCAUACUAGAUGCCGUGGCGUCUCAAGAUCUCUGGAUCUGGCACUCUUUCUUUAGCAUGGCUGGAUCACACAAUGAUAUCAACCGUGCUUCAGCGCUCGCCGUGUUUGCUAGGCUUGCCGAAGGCAACAGCCCACCGGUGAACUUUACUGUCAACGAUCACAACUACGACAAAGGAUACUACCUGGGUGACGGUAUCUAUCCUCAGUGGACCACUAUUGUCAAGACAAUACCCAACCCUGUCGGAGAGAAAAGAAAAAGAUUUGCCCAAGAGCAAGAGAGUGCUAGGAAGUAUGUCGAGCGUGCCUUUGGUUUUCUGCAAUCUCGAUGGGGCAUCGUUCGGUAUCCUGCUAAUACCUGGAGCACGCAGAAACUAUGGCAGGUGAUGACUGCUUGUGUGAUCAUGCACAAUAUGAUCGUAGAAAACGAGCACCUGGAACGUCUAUACAAUCAAGGCUUUCAGUUUCAGGGUGAAAAUGUUGUGCCUGAGCAUGGAGUAGCGGCAACGUUUGAACAGUUCACCCAAUUUCAUGAAGACAUGCCUGAUUGGGAAACUCACGUGCAACUGCAAAAUGAUUUGGUUGAGCAUACGUGGGCUAAUGUUGGCAACCAAUAGAUGUAUCUUCUUUUAUUCUUCUGCAAAACUAUGUGAAACAUUUUUAUUGUAUUCGGCUUGUAAAACCAUACUAUUUUAUUCGGUUUAUUUGACAAUAUGUUUGAAUGCAAAUCAUCAAUAUAAAAUUGGGCGGCCAGCCGGCCCAUAUGGGUCGGCGCGUUGGGCGCGCUGCCGACCCAUAUCAGAAACAGGGCGGACGCCGGGCGGACGGCCGACCCAAAGACAAAAAGCGGACGAAAUCGCCAUCCGUUUGGGUCGCCCCGUUGCUCUAAUUAAAUUGACAACACGAAGUCUGAACUGAGAAAAAAAAAGUAGGUCCAAAUCAAGAGAAACAAAUCCAAUCCAAUCUUCUUCUUUGAUCCAAUGUUUACAGCUGACUGCCUGUAUAGAAGUCAUUUUCUGCUCAAGAGACAUAGAGAGGAAUCAUGAUGCAGCACCGAUGAUGAUGAUGCCCACGUAUUGUUGGCUAAACACCUUGAUAAAAUAUCUAAUCGACUUGAUUGCUCGGCUGGUUUCUUUCUCCUUCUCCUAAGUGAUUGAUUGAUAGAGACCAGACUUCAAUUCAAACACUAAAGUAUUGUUAUUAUUGUUUGUUUUGUUGACAGAAAACAACUCCCCUUUGAUAGAGAUUAGGGAAAACUCUAACCAAGUCAGACACAGUGCAUUGGGAAAAUAAUUGAAGGCAAAGAGGUCCAUACUAAAUCAAGAGAAGACAUCCAAUCCAAUGUACUCCUACUACCAAUCUUUUAGAACUAUUGUCAAAUGUGUUAUUGCAUCUUGCAAGAAGCAAGAUCAAUUUUCUACAAAGAAUUAAGCCAGGAAUGAAUUGCCUCUAAUUAUGUGCAAGAACAAUCAAAACACCCCAAAUCUCCUUGCACAAUUAGUGAUCUCUUUGGGAGUGAAGUUACCAUCGUC
This 5105-nucleotide long non-coding RNA is filed under the name Triticum aestivum (bread wheat). RNAcentral's name for it is "long non-coding RNA (TAES_LNC010872)". The record is from RNAcentral. Lineage: Eukaryota; Viridiplantae; Streptophyta; Magnoliopsida; Poales; Poaceae.